CCUACGGGAGGCAGCAGUGGGGAAUAUUGCACAAUGGGGGAAACCCUGAUGCAGCGACGCCGCGUGAGUGAAGAAGUAAUUCGUUACGUAAAGCUCUAUCAGCAGGGAAGAAACACUGACCUUACGGUCAGCAGACGGUACCUGAGUAAGAAGCCCCGGCUAACUACGUGCCAGCUGCCGCGGUAACGCGCAGGGGGCAAGCGUUAUGCGGAUAUACUGGGCGUAAAGGGAGCGUAGACGGUUCGCGAAGUCUGGAGGGAAAUGCCGCAGCUUAACUGCGGAACUGCUUAGGAAACUGGCGAGCUAGAGUGCGAGAGAGGUAAGCGGAAUU
RNAcentral lists this ribosomal RNA (331 nucleotides) under uncultured bacterium. RNAcentral describes it as "partial 16S ribosomal RNA". It matches the Rfam family "Bacterial small subunit ribosomal RNA", at positions 338 to 668 of the family's 1533-position model. The record is from RNAcentral.